UGGAGAAUUAAAAGAAUUUAUUCAUAAAACAAUAAUGAAACUGGAUUACAUUCUGUCAAACAAUAAACAAAAAAUAAGUUCACUUUCUGAGAAAAAAAGACAGACGAGGGUCAGUCAAGAGAGAGAUAAAGAAGACAUUCUAAAAAAAAGUGGGAGAAAUGUAGUAGAGAAAGGUGAAUCCAUGUCCCAUCCCAUCAGUGGUUGUCCGAUGAGACUAGGGAACAAAGAUAUAAAAAAAUAAUUGAGGGAUGAAGUAGAUUUCUUUUUUAUUCUCUCUCCCAGGUAUUAUCUCCAUGUUAAAUAACUUUCUCUACUGUCCAGGGGAAAUCUGAAAGGCACCC
This 341-nucleotide long non-coding RNA is filed under the name Androctonus crassicauda. Lineage: Eukaryota; Metazoa; Arthropoda; Arachnida; Scorpiones; Buthidae. The record is from RNAcentral.